CAGCCAGUUGGUGGGGUAAAGGCCUACCAAAGCAUAGAUCGGUAGCCGGCCUGAGAGGGCACACGGCCACACUGGCACUGAAACACGGGCCAGACUCCUACGGGAGGCAGCAGUGGGGAAUCUUGCACAAUGGGGGAAACCCUGAUGCAGCGACGCCGCGUGAACGAUGAAGCCCUUCGGGGUGUAAAGUUCUUUCGGCAGGGAAGAUUAUGACGGUACCUGCAGAAGCAGCUGCGGCUAACUACGUGCCAGCAGCCGCGGUAAUACGUAGGCAGCGAGCGUUGUUCGGAGUUACUGGGCGUAAAGGGUGUGUAGGCGGCUUUCUAAGUUUGGUGUGAAAUCUCCCGGCUCAACCGGGAGGGUGCGCCGAAAACUGGGAGGCUAGAGUGUGGGAUGGGAGAGUAGAAUUCCUGGUGUAGCGGUGAAAUGCGUAGAUAUCAGGAGGAAUACCGGUGGUGUAGACGGCUCUCUGGACCACAACUGACGCUGAAACACGAAAGCGUGGGUAGCAAACAGGAUUAGAUACCCUGGUAGUCCACGCCCUAAACGAUGCAUAUUUGGUGUAGGUCAUUCAGUUGAUCUGUGCCGGAGCUAACGCGUUAAAUAUGCCGCCUGGGGAGUACAGUC
Molecule: ribosomal RNA, 627 nt
Filed under: uncultured Acidobacteriota bacterium
Lineage: Bacteria; Pseudomonadati; Acidobacteriota
Description: SSU rRNA
Rfam family: Bacterial small subunit ribosomal RNA
Source: RNAcentral